AAAUGGAAAAUGUAAUCACCCUUAUCUGCAAAGUUUUGGCAAAGUGAGGAGAAAAGGAAAGCUAAAAUUCAGGCUAACUUCAGUUUUGCUUUGCUUGGAUUUAUUACAUGUACCAUUAUGUUUAACUACGUUAUCGUUGGUUACUGCUCAAGCCAGCAUAUUUUGUCAUUUUACAAAGGAGUAAAUUGCAAAAAACAUAAGCCAAUCAUGCAAUGAGCUAAAGAAAAAAAUGUCAUUCCAGACAAAUAAACAAUUAUAACAAACUAAGACACAAUGGAAAUCAAAGUAUGGCAUGCUGGUAAUGCAACUAUCUUUCAAAAGUCAUUGCUCUAAUAUUUCUGCAGUCCAUAAUGGUCUUUUACAGUAGUUGAAAUAGCCUGUCAAAGCAUGUGUUUUCUUCAUUACUAAAAAAAACUAUAUCAAUUGAUUAAUUAGUUAGAAUAUAAAAGCACAAAAAUGAGAAAUUCUGAAUUAAAGCUUCAAGAAACACUAAGCCCGUCACAUUAUUUUAUUUUAAUAUUUCAUUCUAUAUGUGUUUUAGAAUGAUAUGGUGCAAACCCUGGCUGGGAUGAUUUAGUUGAGAUUAGUCCUGCUUUGAGCUGGGGGGUUGGACUAGAUGACCUGAGAUCUCUUCCAACCCUAGUCUAUGAUUCUAAGGUACCUGAUCCAAAGAACUUCAAUUCUUAUGUGUCAUAUCUUGCAGAAAUUUACUACGGGGAACAGUGUUUAUUACUGUGAGUAGGCCUAAUUGGACUCGCAGUCUUCAGCGCUUUCUGGAUUGAGCUUUAAGGGCAUGUUCCACUUCCAAAAGUUGCCACCCAUUUUUGGACCUGCAUCACUGAAAGGGGCAGCAAGACUGGUGGAUUGGAAAGAGCAAGCCACACCAUCCUGGCAGCCCUGGCUGCCCCUACUGUCUCCUGGGUCUCUGGGAUUAGAGCUGGUAGAUAAAAUGUUGUCGUCUUAAUAUGGAUUCCAAAAUAUGCCACAUUUUUUACUACAAAAUUAUGACACAAUCUUGUUAUGAUGAAAGAACUGCCAGGCCUCCCUAGGACAAAUCUUUGGAACUGGCUACCUCCCCCACAUCCUGGAGAAGAGCAGCCAAUCAGGGAAGCAUGGAUAGAGAAUUCAGCAAUGGACCCAAGGACAAUGGAACAGUGUGCUGUGUUCCUGAAGUGAACAUAUGAUAUGUGCCCAUAUGAGGUGUGGAUGGGAUUAUGAAGGCAUCUGGUAUGUCUUCACUAGUGAUGAUUUACAUUGGAGCCAGUGAUUCAGUAUCCUGUGGAAAUACACAGAUUAAAGAAGACUUAAGGGAUCUUGGAAGGAAGAUGAAAAAGGGGUCGAGCAGUUGUGGGAUCUCCAGUUAUGGAACUGGCAUCCUGCUUUGGCAGCCUUCCAAAGCCUAUGGUUAUCAAGCUUCAGGACACAGUCCAAGUUUGGAAGGACAACUGGUUGCUGCCUUGACUCCAUACAGGUCUAGUGUGUGCUCAGCUGAUGGUUCUGCAGCAUUAGUAGAGCCUAAAGGCGCUCAGAUACUACAAUGAUGAGCACCAUGGGAUUGCCUAUAGAUAAAAUAAAUAGGACUACCAGGGCUAUCUCUUGGACGUGAACAGUAUGGCUGGUAGACAGCAGCUCUCAGCUCCUCCAUCCUUCUGUCUUCUUCAGUGUUCUGUUGGUUAGACCCUACUUCCAUUCUCUAUGUUCUCUCCCGCUCCUCCUUUUUCUGUUUGCUCCUCCUUUCUCCCUUCCAACACAUUUUCCUUCUGUUCCACAAUCUGCUCCCCCGCUUUCCAAGCACGUCUCCCUCUUGCUCUCCUACUCCUAAGCGUGCCCCUCUGUACACUUAUAUCUCCCUUCCCUAUGUCCGCAGACUUCCAGGUGUGGAGAGUGGCAAAUGUUUGGAUUUCACACAGAAAAAUAAGCAUUUGGUGAUGUCAUUGUCACCCUGGCCCAGACUCUCACAACAAAACUUGUAUUAAGGAAAUGCCUGGUUAAAGAGUAUGGUUUGGCUUUGUAUCGCUGGUUCUAACAUAUUAUGUUGUGGUUUAAGAGAUGCUUAACAAGUCUGUAUAUUCAAUCUGGACCCGUUAGCUGUGCAGCCAAAGACAGCUUUACUUUUCCAAUCCUCCAUUUUGCCCCUUCAUUAGUUGCAGGGUGCUUGCUUUAAGAGAUUGCUUACUGAGGACUCCAGCUAUCAAUUCCCUUACAGUAUUUGGAUUUUUUAAAAAGUGUUGCUAGAUAAGUCUUUUGCAAAAUCUUUGAUGAUUUUUCUUUGUGAUUUUUUCCCCUGCGCAGUAAUAGAGCUGGUCAGAAAAUAAUAUCAUGAUAAAUUCUUCCCUCACUGACACACUUUCCCACUGCCAGUUCUAUUAUCAAACAUAAUGUACAGAAAUUAGGCACUCAGUCCAUCUCCUAGUCAGUGCAGGUUUGUCCCGCUGGCAUGGUUUCUAGGGUUUUAACUAGACAAAACGGUCCCCAUAAUUUCCUCUUAGAAAACAAUGUCACAGCUUACUCAGGAAGCUUUUCCUAACAUUCAGACUAUUUUUCCUUAAUUAACUUGCUAUUCGGCAACUAUAGCCAAUGGGGCACUGC
Gopherus flavomarginatus (Mexican gopher tortoise) is the source of this 2589-nucleotide long non-coding RNA. RefSeq lists it as uncharacterized. Lineage: Eukaryota; Metazoa; Chordata; Testudines; Testudinidae. The transcript has 6 exons. The record is from RefSeq and is a predicted model, not a curated record.